Molecule: transfer-messenger RNA, 388 nt
Filed under: Candidatus Roizmanbacteria bacterium
Lineage: Bacteria; Candidatus Roizmaniibacteriota
Rfam family: transfer-messenger RNA
About the family: Bacterial tmRNA, also known as 10Sa RNA or SsrA, is named for its dual tRNA and mRNA-like properties. Its role is to liberate the mRNA from a stalled ribosome. To accomplish this part of the tmRNA is used as a reading frame that ends in a translation stop signal.
Source: RNAcentral
GGGGAUGAUGGGACUCGACGAGGAAAACGCACUUUUACAAAUGGUUAGGGCGGACCUGUCCGUUAAACGGAAAAACAUAAUUGCUAAAGAACAAUCUGAAGCAGCUGAAGCAGCCGCAUACAGAUUUGCACAACCUGCAUUUCUUUAUGCUUAAUGCCUAAGCCUCUGUCUAAGUUUCCCUUGAUUCAACUUAGAUGUGAGAUUAACCAAUCAAGGUGAGACAAAAUUCGUGUUUACGAUUGACGAAUGAGUCAAACAACCAUCAAUCGUUGUCCAAAUGACAUUUGGUUAUUUGGUCUUUGGAUUUCAAUAUAAAUAAUCUAUCCCUAACUAAACAUUUGUCUUAGUGCUUCUUCGGACCCGGGUUCAACUCCCGGCAUCUCCACCA